UGAUAAUAAUUUAAAGUCUAAUCUGCUCAGUGAAUUUUAAAUAGCCGCAGUAUUUUGACUGUGCAAAGGUAGCGUGAUAAUUAGUUUAUUAAUUGUAAACUUGUAUGAAGGAUUGGACGAGAAAGUCUCUGUCUCAUUUUAAUUUAUAUUGAAUUUUACUUUUAAGUUAAAAGGCUUAAAUUAAGAUAAAAGACGAGAAGACCCCAUAGAGUUUUAUUUAAAUUAGUUGGGGUGACUUAAAGAUUUAAAUAACUCUUUAAAUUUAAAAUCAUUGAUUUAUGAAUUAAAAAUCUGAAUAUUUCAAUUUUAAAUUAAGUUACCUUGGGGAUAACAGCGUAAUUUCUUUUAGAGUUCAUAUCAAAAGAGAAGAUUGCGACCUCGAUGUUGGAUUAAAGAAAAAUUUAGGUGCAGAAGUCUAGAUUUUAAGUCUGUUC
Molecule: ribosomal RNA, 434 nt
Filed under: Phosphaenus hemipterus
Lineage: Eukaryota; Metazoa; Arthropoda; Insecta; Coleoptera; Lampyridae
Description: partial 16S ribosomal RNA
Rfam family: Archaeal large subunit ribosomal RNA
Source: RNAcentral